UAACGGCGAGUGAAGCGGCAACAGCUCAAAUUUGAAAUCUGGCGUCUUUGGCGUCCGAGUUGUAAUUUGCAGAGGGCGCUUUGGCAUUGGCAGCGGUCCAAGUUCCUUGGAACAGGACGUCACAGAGGGUGAGAAUCCCGUACGUGGUCGCUAGCCUUUACCGUGUAAAGCCCCUUCGACGAGUCGAGUUGUUUGGGAAUGCAGCUCUAAAUGGGAGGUAAAUUUCUUCUAAAGCUAAAUACUGGCCAGAGACCGAUAGCGCACAAGUAGAGUGAUCGAAAGAUGAAAAGCACUUUGGAAAGAGAGUUAAAAAGCACGUGAAAUUGUUGAAAGGGAAGCGCUUGCAGCCAGACUUGCCUGUAGUUGCUCAUCUAGGUUUCUACCUAGUGCACUCUUCUAUAGGCAGGCCAGCAUCAGUUUGGGCGGUUGGAUAAAGGUCUCUGUCAUGUACCUCUCUUCGGGGAGAACUUAUAGGGGAGACGACAUGCAACCAGCCUGGACUGAGGUCCGCGCAUCUGCUAGGAUGCUGGCGUAAUGGCUGUAAGCGGCCCGUCUUGAAACACGGACCAAGGAGUCUAACAUCUAUGCGAGUGUUUGGGUGUCAAGCCCGAACGCGUAAUGAAAGUGAACGGAGGUGGGAACCUUUCGGGGUGCACCAUCGACCGAUCCUGAUGUCUUCGGAUGGAUUUGAGUAAGAGCAUAGCUGUUGGGACCCGAAAGAUGGUGAACUAUGCUUGAAUAGGGUGAAGCCAGAGGAAACUCUGGUGGAGGCUCGCAGCGGUUCUGACGUGCAAAUCGAUCGUCAAAUUUGGGCAUAGGGGCGAAAGACUAAUCGAACUAUCUAGUAGCUGGUUCCUGCCGAAGUUUCCCUCAGGAUAGCAGUAACGUUUUCAGUUUUAUGAGGUAAAGCGAAUGAUUAGAGGCCUGGGGGUUGAAACAACCUU
Molecule: ribosomal RNA, 944 nt
Filed under: Didymella infuscatispora
Lineage: Eukaryota; Fungi; Ascomycota; Dothideomycetes; Pleosporales; Didymellaceae
Description: eukaryotic LSU rRNA
Rfam family: Eukaryotic large subunit ribosomal RNA
Source: RNAcentral